This 804-nucleotide ribosomal RNA is filed under the name uncultured bacterium. RNAcentral describes it as "bacterial SSU rRNA". It matches the Rfam family "Bacterial small subunit ribosomal RNA", at positions 343 to 1116 of the family's 1533-position model. The record is from RNAcentral.
GGAGGCCAACAGUGGGGGAAUAUUUGCACAAUUGGGCGCAAACCUGAUGCAAGCCAUGCCGCGUGUAUGAAAGAAGGCCUUCAGGGUUAUAAAGGUACUUUUCAGCGGUGAGGAAAGGCGGUACGGUUAAUAAACCGCGCCAUUUGACGUUACCCGCAGAAGAAGCACCGUCUAACUCCCGUCCCAGCAAGCCGCGGUAAUNCGGAGGGNGCAAGCNUUAAUCGGAAUUACUGGGNGUAAAGCGCACGCAGGCGGUCUGUUAAGUCAGAUGUGAAAUNCCCGGGCUUAACCUGGGAACUGCAUUUGAAACUGGCAGGCUUGAGUCUUGUAGAGGGGGGUAGAAUUCCAGGUGUAGCGGUGAAAUGCGUAGAGAUCUGGAGGAAUACCGGUGGCGAAGGCGGCCCCCUGGACAAAGACUGACGCUCAGGUGCGAAAGCGUGGGGAGCAAACAGGAUUAGAUACCCUGGUAGUCCACGCCGUAAACGAUGUCGACUUGGAGGCUGUGCCCUUGAGGCGUGGCUUCCGGAGCUAACGCGUUAAGUCGACCGCCUGGGGAGUACGGCCGCAAGGUUAAAACUCAAAUGAAUUGACGGGGGCCCGCACAAGCGGUGGAGCAUGUGGUUUAAUUCGAUGCAACGCGAAGAACCUUACCUACUCUUGACAUCCACGGAAUUCGGCAGAGAUGCCUUAGUGCCUUCGGGAACUGUGAGANCAGGUGCUGUCAUGGCUGUAAUACAUCUAGUGAAUUACGCGGCCGCCUGCAGGUACGAACNCAUAUGGGAGAAGCUCCCCCAACGCGUGGAU